CACGUGUUUUUUUUGUGUGAAGAACUUUUCCUAGCUCACCAAGUCUCCUGCACUCUUUCUCUCUCUCUCUCUCUCUUACAAACAGAUAGAACCCAGAGAUGCCUGAGUCUGCAGACGUUCCUGCUCAGUGCCAAGUCCUCAAAGAGGAGGUGGAUAAAUGUGUCCAAGGGAAGGGCGCAGAGGCCUGUAAGGAGCUGAUGGAAGCUUUCGAGGCCUGUGUGAAAAGUGCCGUGGAAGCUUCAUGAGAAGAAAACUUCAGGUUCAUACCAAAGGUCCUCUUUCUUCGGGUCCUUCAGUAUCCCUGCAUUCCCUACUGCAUUUUGCGUUGGACUGGACCAUUAGAAAGACUGGCCAGGGGUGUUGGUGCUGCCAGAUUCUUGGAUUUGCUUUGUCUGGAUCAGAGAUGCCUCAAUGAUGGCUCUGAAAUUAUUGUCAAUGUCCUAUGCAAAUGUAGCAGCAAGAGCCCACGGGAUUUAGAUCCAAUAUGUCAGAACAAGUAUUUCUUUAUCUAAGAAAAAUGCAGUUCAUAUAAAUGAUUUUGGAAUAAAAUAUACUUUAAUUAUU
Molecule: long non-coding RNA, 564 nt
Organism: Pangasianodon hypophthalmus (striped catfish)
Lineage: Eukaryota; Metazoa; Chordata; Actinopteri; Siluriformes; Pangasiidae
Exons: 3
Source: RefSeq, a predicted model, not a curated record